RNAcentral lists this ribosomal RNA (778 nucleotides) under uncultured Neocallimastigales. Its description in RNAcentral is "partial large subunit ribosomal RNA". It matches the Rfam family "Eukaryotic large subunit ribosomal RNA", at positions 22 to 630 of the family's 3401-position model. Lineage: Eukaryota; Fungi; Neocallimastigomycota; Neocallimastigomycetes; Neocallimastigales. The record is from RNAcentral.
CAUAGCGACUAUCGUGGCAUAUCAAUAAGCGGAGGAAAAGAAACUAACAAGGAUUCCCCUAGUAACGGCGAGUGAAGCGGGAAGAGCUCAAAUUUGAAAUCUUAAAGGGUUUCCCUUUACGAAUUGUAGUUUAAAGAAGUGUUUUCUGUUGGAGUUUCGGUAAAAGUUCUUUGGAAUAGGACAUCAUAGAGGGUGAGAAUCCCGUAUUUGAUCGUUACUUUCCAGCUGUGUGAUACACUUUCAAAGAGUCGGAUUGUUUGGGAAUGCAGUCCAAAAUGGGUGGUAAAUUUCAUCUAAAGCUAAAUAUUGGCGAGAGACCGAUAGCGAACAAGUACCGUGAGGGAAAGAUGAAAAGAACUUUGAAAAGAGAGUUAAACAGUACGUGAAAUUGUCAAAAGGGAAGCGUUUGACACCAGUGUUGUUUAGUUGAAAAUCAAUUCAAUAAUUUUUGAUUUUGAAGUAGUAUUGACUUCAUCAGCUUGCUGCUUUCUUUUCCGGAAUUAUUGAAUGCACUUUUCAGUUAACAAGUCAACAUCCAAUUUCUUUUGUUGUAAAAGGGUAAGAGGAAGGUGGCUUACGCUUCGGCGUAAGUGUUUAGAGCCUUUUACCUCUGCAAUCGGAGAGAUUGAGGACAGCAGCGUAGACUCCUUCGGGGUUAGAUACACUUGUGCUAAGCUAUAGCCUUGUAUAGACAACUUGUUGACUAUGCUCAGUCAUGUAGCUUACUCGCUUGUGCUAUUUUACCUACGCUUAGGAUGUUGAUAGUCACAGCGUGUAC